Molecule: ribosomal RNA, 253 nt
Filed under: uncultured bacterium
Lineage: Bacteria
Description: partial 16S ribosomal RNA
Rfam family: Bacterial small subunit ribosomal RNA
Source: RNAcentral
UACGGGGGGGGCAAGCGUUGUUCGGAAUUACUGGGCGUAAAGGGCUCGUAGGCGGCCAACUAAGUCAGACGUGAAAUCCCUCGGCUUAACCGGGGAACUGCGUCUGAUACUGGAUGGCUUGAGAUUGGGAGAGGGAUGCGGAAUUCCAGGUGUAGCGGUGAAAUGCGCAGAUAUCGGGAAGAACACCCGUGGCGAAGGCGGCUCUCUGGGACGGUACUGACGCUGAGACGCGAAAGCGUGGGGAGCAAACAGG